AAGAGACCCGUGGCUUAUUUAUCAAAGAUGUUGGAUCCAGUAAAUCAAGGCUGGCCAGUGUGUGUUCAAGCUAUAGCAGCUACUGCAAUCCUGGUAGAGAAAAGUCAUAAACUGACUUUUGGAGGUAAAUCAAUUGUGUGCACACCUCAUGCAGUAUGAAAUUUCUUCCGAUUUGCAUUGUGAUUUUUAUCUUGAAAUACAUAACUUACUGUACUCUAGGACUGAGAAACUAGUUUACAGCUGUGACAUAGCAAAACCUGCCAUUAAUUUAUUUUGAGUUGAUGCAGGCUGUUCACUCAAGUGGUUCUCAGUGUGUAAAGUUAAACUAAAGGUAACACCAGCUGCUUGGUAGGUCAAUGAGAAACAUUUUUUCUUCCAGCCAGUCCUUUUUCAUGUACCCAAAUGUGUUUUGCUUUCUUCGUUUUUUUGGUUUGUUUGUUUGUUAUUUUUUCUGGAAGUGCUAACUACUUGCAGUGUAGCUGGAACAGCAGCUAGAGUUGUUCAUGCAUGAGACUUCUGAAAAAUAGGGCUCAUUUUUUCCCCAGACUUGGAGGUGGCUACAUAUAGAAAAGGGAACCUACAAAGCGAGGUGAAGAAAAGGUUUCAGUAUCUUCUAAUGUAAGCUGUUAAUUUUUUUACUUUCGGCAUCACUGUGGGUGUGUGACACAUACACAUUAAAAAGAUGGUGGGGGGAUCUCUGCUUGCUGUAGGUUUAUUUCUUGAAUGAGUUAGAGAGCUGUGAGGAAGUUUUGGGCUCCCUGUGUGGAUUACCCAGGCCUGCAGGGAGGGCUUGGCCAUGAUUCCCUCUGUGCUGCAGGCAGCCCUGCAGCGUGGCAGCAGUGGCUUGCCUCUGGUGAGUUUGCAGGCAGGGUGCUCCAGCACUGCAGUGCUCAGGGGCAGUUUCCUAUUAUGACAUUAAGGCUUGAAUUCAGGAGCGCCUCUUCCCACCCAGUUAUUGUUUGUACCACAGGAGCCUCUUUAGAGAGUGUUUCCUGGCAGUCAAAAAGAGAGUAUUGCAGAGAAAAAUUCCUCACUUGCUGUCCUCCCCCUGCCCUCAACUCUAUUCAUAUUUUGUCCAUUCCCUCUUCAAAAUACAGAUUUGUAAAACUCAUGCUCUGUGUCCUCAGAUGCCCUUCCCAAAUCAAACCUUGGCUUCGUUGCAAAUUGCAUUGCACUAACUAGCAUUGCCUUAAAUUUGUUUUGGUGCAGGCAGGGUCACUUUGGAAGUAAGUUGUUGUUUACUUUGUUCCUGCAACCUUUUCAAGCUUGUGAAUGGAAAAAUUGUGAUAGCAAACCAAGUCUUUAUUUUUGCACUGUCAGCUGUGAGUGGCUGGUAGCCUUGGUGGAGGGUGCCGUGAAUUACAGGCCUGCAGAACACGCAUAACAAAAGUAAUUUACUUUGUAAGGAAGUUGAAAAAGGGGGGAGAGGUGAUUGGCAGACUCACCUCUCCAGGAUGUAGGAUUAAUGUUAGAAAGUGGACUGAUAUUGGAAUGUGGCUGCUGAAAUGUGAAGA
This 1514-nucleotide long non-coding RNA is filed under the name Taeniopygia guttata (zebra finch). RNAcentral's name for it is "lncRNA (ENSTGUG00000019891.1)". Lineage: Eukaryota; Metazoa; Chordata; Aves; Passeriformes; Estrildidae. The record is from RNAcentral.